GAUGAACGCUGGCGGCGUGCCUAAUACAUGCAGGUCGAGCGAACAGAUAAGGAGCUUGCUCCUUUGAAGUUAGCGGCGGACGGGUGAGUAACACGUGGGUAACCUACCUAUAAGACUGGGAUAACUUCGGGAAACCGGAGCUAAUACCGGAUAACAUUUAGAACCGCAUGGUUCUAAAGUGAAAGAUGGUUUUGCUAUCACUUAUAGAUGGACCCGCGCCGUAUUAGCUAGUUGGUAAGGUAACGGCUUACCAAGGCGACGAUACGUAGCCGACCUGAGAGGGUGAUCGGCCACACUGGAACUGAGACGCGGUCCAGACUCCUACGGGAGGCAGCAGUAGGGAAUCUUCCGCAAUGGGCGAAAGCCUGACGGAGCAACGCCGCGUGAGUGAUGAAGGGUUUCGGCUCGUAAAACUCUGUUAUUAGGGAAGAACAAAUGUGUAAGUAACUGUGCACAUCUUGACGGUACCUAAUCAGAAAGCCACGGCUAACUACGUGCCAGCAGCCGCGGUAAUACGUAGGUGGCAAGCGUUAUCCGGAAUUAUUGGGCGUAAAGCGCGCGUAGGCGGUUUCUUAAGUCUGAUGUGAAAGCCCACGGCUCAACCGUGGAGGGUCAUUGGAAACUGGGAAACUUGAGUGCAGAAGAGGAAAGUGGAAUUCCAUGUGUAGCGGUGAAAUGCGCAGAGAUAUGGAGGAACACCAGUGGCGAAGGCGACUUUCUGGUCUGUAACUGACGCUGAUGUGCGAAAGCGUGGGGAUCAAACAGGAUUAGAUACCCUGGUAGUCCACGCCGUAAACGAUGAGUGCUAAGUGUUAGGGGGGUUUCCGCCCCUUAGUGCUGCAGCUAACGCAUUAAGCACUCCGCCUGGGGAGUACGACCGCAAGGUUGAAACUCAAAGGAAUUGACGGGGACCCGCACAAGCGGUGGAGCAUGUGGUUUAAUUCGAAGCAACGCGAAGAACCUUACCAAAUCUUGACAUCCUUUGAAAACUCUAGAGAUAGAGCCUUCCCCUUCGGGGGACAAAGUGACAGGUGGUGCAUGGUUGUCGUCAGCUCGUGUCGUGAGAUGUUGGGUUAAGUCCCGCAACGAGCGCAACCCUUAAGCUUAGUUGCCAUCAUUAAGUUGGGCACUCUAGGUUGACUGCCGGUGACAAACCGGAGGAAGGUGGGGAUGACGUCAAAUCAUCAUGCCCCUUAUGAUUUGGGCUACACACGUGCUACAAUGGACAAUACAAAGGGCAGCUAAACCGCGAGGUCAUGCAAAUCCCAUAAAGUUGUUCUCAGUUCGGAUUGUAGUCUGCAACUCGACUACAUGAAGCUGGAAUCGCUAGUAAUCGUAGAUCAGCAUGCUACGGUGAAUACGUUCCCGGGUCU
RNAcentral lists this ribosomal RNA (1373 nucleotides) under uncultured bacterium. RNAcentral describes it as "bacterial SSU rRNA". It matches the Rfam family "Bacterial small subunit ribosomal RNA", at positions 28 to 1381 of the family's 1533-position model. The record is from RNAcentral.